Molecule: unclassified non-coding RNA, 248 nt
Filed under: Hevea brasiliensis (rubber tree)
Lineage: Eukaryota; Viridiplantae; Streptophyta; Magnoliopsida; Malpighiales; Euphorbiaceae
Source: RNAcentral
CUAUGAUACAAUACAAAAUGGGUCUUGAUUGGAGUAAUAGGAACCACUGAUUUAAUUCUAUCGGUUCUUAAUUGAUUUGUGGGAGGCAUUUAUGGAUAUUGAAGCAGAAGAGUGAAAUGGGCUAUUGUUUGAAGAUGACGACUGUAUGUGGGCAGAGAGUGAGAGAAGCUGGGACUAUACUGGUGUGGGUUGUGUGUGGAGAGCAUUAGGAAGACUAUGUGGCGUUGAGUUUCUACCUAGGAGUGAAG